This 466-nucleotide ribosomal RNA is filed under the name uncultured bacterium. RNAcentral's name for it is "bacterial SSU rRNA". It matches the Rfam family "Bacterial small subunit ribosomal RNA", at positions 329 to 792 of the family's 1533-position model. The record is from RNAcentral.
CCCCAGACUCCUACGGGAGGCAGCAGUGAGGAAUAUUGGUCAAUGGCCGCAGGGCUGAACCAGCCAAGUCGCGUGAGGGAUGACGGUCCUAUGGAUUGUAAACCUCUUUUGUCAGGGAGCAAUUGGGUCCACGCGUGGGCUUAGCGAGAGUACCUGAAGAAAAAGCAUCGGCUAACUCCGUGCCAGCAGCCGCGGUAAUACGGAGGAUGCGAGCGUUAUCCGGAUUUAUUGGGUUUAAAGGGUGCGUAGGCGGAAUAUCAAGUCAGCGGUAAAAAUUCGGGGCUCAACCCCGUCGUGCCGUUGAAACUGGCGUUCUUGAGUGAGCGAGAAGUAUGCGGAAUGCGUGGUGUAGCGGUGAAAUGCAUAGAUAUCACGCAGAACUCCGAUUGCGAAGGCAGCAUACCGGCGCUCAACUGACGCUCAUGCACGAAAGCGUGGGUAUCGAACAGGAUUAGAUACCCCCGUA